AUCAUACCUGGCUAAUUUUUUUUUUUGAGAUGGAGUCUCGCUCUGUCGCCCAGGCUGGAGUGCAGUGGCGCGAUCUCGGCUCACUGCAACCUCUGCCUCCCGGGUUCACGCCAUUCUUCUGUCUCAGCCUCCCCAGCAGCUGGGACUACAGGCGCCCAGCACCACGCCCAGCUAAUUUUUUUGUAUUUUUAGUAGAGACGGGAUUUCACCGUGUUAGUCAGGAUAGUCUCGAUCUCCUGACCUCGUGAUCUGCCCGCCUCGGCCUCCCAAAGUGCUGGAAUUAAAGGCGUGAGCCACCACACCCGGCCAAUUUUUGUAUUUUUGGUAGAGAUGGGGUUUCACCAUGUUGGCCAGGCUGGUCUCAAACACCUGACCUUGUGAUCCGCCCACCUCGGCCUCCCGAAGUGCUGGGAUUACAGGCAUGAGCCACCGCGCCCGGCCAUUCUUUGAGUUUUCAUCAACCAGUGGAUACAGAAGUGUGCUGCCCAUUUUGCAGAUUAGAGAAUUGAGGCUAGUAAAUAAGUCGGGACUUAGUUGAUGCCCUUGCUCUUUGAGUUCUGGGCUCUGGAGGCUUUGGAUUCAAAGCCCUGCUGCACCAUUUACUCAUCAUGUGACUUUGGGAAGGUGACCAUUCUCUGAGCCUCACUUCUCCUCCUCUGCAAAAUGGGAUUCCAGUUCCUACCUUGCAGGACCGCUGUUGUAGAAUCAUACAUGGAGAUUGCUCAGUCCUGGGCCAACUUGGCCUACGAGGAGAUACCAGUAAACGACCUUAUCCGCGGGCA
This 782-nucleotide long non-coding RNA is filed under the name Homo sapiens (human). RNAcentral describes it as "non-protein coding lnc-RSPH6A-1:1". The record is from RNAcentral. Lineage: Eukaryota; Metazoa; Chordata; Mammalia; Primates; Hominidae.